CGUAGGUAACCUGCCCCGGAGCGGGGGGAUAACAUUUGGAAACAGAUGCUAAUACCGCAUAACAAUAAAAGCCGCAUGGCGUUUUAUUUGAAAGAUGGCUUUGGCUAUCACUCUGGGAUGGACCUGCGGUGCAUUAGCUAGUUGGUAAGGUAACGGCUUACCAAGGCGAUGAUGCAUAGCCGAGUUGAGAGACUGAUCGGCCACAAUGGAACUGAGACACGGUCCAUACUCCUACGGGAGGCAGCAG
This 247-nucleotide ribosomal RNA is filed under the name uncultured bacterium. Its description in RNAcentral is "partial 16S ribosomal RNA". It matches the Rfam family "Bacterial small subunit ribosomal RNA", at positions 116 to 354 of the family's 1533-position model. The record is from RNAcentral.